GUGAGGAAUAUUGGUCAAUGGGCGAGAGCCUGAACCAGCCAAGUAGCGUGAAGGAUGACUGCCCUAUGGGUUGUAAACUUCUUUUAUAGGGGAAUAAAGUGAGCCACGUGUGGCUUUUUGUAUGUACCCUAUGAAUAAGGAUCGGCUAACUCCGUGCCAGCAGCCGCGGUAAUACGGAGGAUCCGAGCGUUAUCCGGAUUUAUUGGGUUUAAAGGGAGCGUAGGUGGACAUGUAAGUCAGUUGUGAAAGUUUGCGGCUCAACCGUAAAAUUGCAGUUGAUACUGUGUGUCUUGAGUACAGUAGAGGUGGGCGGAAUUCGUGGUGUAGCGGUGAAAUGCUUAGAUAUCACGAAGAACUCCGAUUGCGAAGGCAGCUCACUGGACUGUUACUGACACUGAGGCUCGAAAGUGUGGGUAUCAAACAGGA
RNAcentral lists this ribosomal RNA (426 nucleotides) under uncultured bacterium. Its description in RNAcentral is "bacterial SSU rRNA". It matches the Rfam family "Bacterial small subunit ribosomal RNA", at positions 354 to 777 of the family's 1533-position model. The record is from RNAcentral.